This 715-nucleotide ribosomal RNA is filed under the name bacterium KF-74. RNAcentral describes it as "bacterial SSU rRNA". It matches the Rfam family "Bacterial small subunit ribosomal RNA", at positions 67 to 777 of the family's 1533-position model. The record is from RNAcentral.
CGGCAGCACGGGCUUCGGCCUGGUGGCGAGUGGCGAACGGGUGAGUAAUAUAUCGGAACGUACCCAGAAGUGGGGGAUAACGUAGCGAAAGUUACGCUAAUACCGCAUACGAUCUACGGAUGAAAGUGGGGGAUCGCAAGACCUCAUGCUUUUGGAGCGGCCGAUAUCUGAUUAGCUAGUUGGUAGGGUAAAGGCCUACCUAGGCGACGAUCAGUAGCUGGUCUGAGAGGACGACCAGCCACACUGGAACUGAGACACGGUCCAGACUCCUACGGGAGGCAGCAGUGGGGAAUUUUGGACAAUGGGCGCAAGCCUGAUCCAGCAAUGCCGCGUGAGUGAAGAAGGCCUUCGGGUUGUAAAGCUCUUUUGUCAGGGAAGAAACGGCUGAGGCUAAUAUCUUCGGCUAAUGACGGUACCUGAAGAAUAAGCACCGGCUAACUACGUGCCAGCAGCCGCGGUAAUACGUAGGGUGCAAGCGUUAAUCGGAAUUACUGGGCGUAAAGCGUGCGCAGGCGGUUUUGUAAGUCUGACGUGAAAUCCCCGGGCUCAACCUGGGAAUUGCGUUGGAGACUGCAAGGCUGGAGUCUGGCAGAGGGGGGUAGAAUUCCACGUGUAGCAGUGAAAUGCGUAGAGAUGUGGAGGAACACCGAUGGCGAAGGCAGCCCCCUGGGUCAAGACUGACGCUCAUGCACGAAAGCGUGGGGAGCAAACAGGA